RNAcentral lists this ribosomal RNA (587 nucleotides) under uncultured bacterium. RNAcentral's name for it is "bacterial SSU rRNA". It matches the Rfam family "Bacterial small subunit ribosomal RNA", at positions 28 to 596 of the family's 1533-position model. The record is from RNAcentral.
GACGAACGCUGGCGGCGCGCUUAACACAUGCAAGUCGAGCGAGAACCAGGGCUUCGGCCCUGGGGACAGCGGCGAACGGGUGAGUAACACGUGGGUAAUCUGCCCUCGGCACUGGGAUAACCCGGGGGAAACCCGGACUAAUACCGGAUGGCCUCUCGAGCCUUGGGGCUUGAGAGAAAAGGGUAGCUUCGGCCUCCGGCCGAGGAUGAGCCCGCGGCCGAUUAGCUUGUUGGCGGGGUAACGGCCCACCAAGGCGACGAUCGGUAGCUGGUCUGAGAGGACGAUCAGCCACACUGGGACUGAGACACGGCCCAGACUCCUACGGGAGGCAGCAGUGGGGAAUCUUGCGCAAUGGGCGAAAGCCUGACGCAGCGACGCCGCGUGCGGGAAGAAGGCCUUCGGGUUGUAAACCGCUUUCAGGAGGGACGAAGCCACUCGGGUUAAUAGCCCAGAGGGUGACGGUACCUCCAGAAGAAGCCCCUGGCUAACUACGUGCCAGCAGCCGCGGUAAUACGUAGGGGGGUCCCAGCGUUGUCCGGAUUUAUUGGGCGNAAAGAGCGUGUAGGCGGCCAGGUAGGUCUGGUGUG